GACGAACGCUGGCGGCGUGCCUAAUACAUGCAAGUCGAACGGUCUUUUUUAUGGAAGCUUGCUUCCACUGAGAAGAUAGUGGCGGACGGGUGAGUAACACGUGGGUAACCUGCCCAUAAGAGGGGGAUAACAUCCGGAAACGGGUGCUAAUACCGCAUAGUUUUUUUGAUCGCAUGAUCGGGAAAGGAAAGACGGCCUUUGUGCUGUCGCUUAUGGAUGGACCCGCGGCGUAUUAGUUAGUUGGUGAGGUAAUGGCUCACCAAGACGAUGAUACGUAGCCGACCUGAGAGGGUGAUCGGCCACAUUGGGACUGAGACACGGCCCAAACUCCUACGGGAGGCAGCAGUAGGGAAUCUUCCGCAAUGGACGAAAGUCUGACGGAGCAACGCCGCGUGAGUGAAGAAGGUUUUCGGAUCGUAAAACUCUGUU
Molecule: ribosomal RNA, 429 nt
Filed under: uncultured bacterium
Lineage: Bacteria
Description: bacterial SSU rRNA
Rfam family: Bacterial small subunit ribosomal RNA
Source: RNAcentral